GCGGGAGCGAGCGGGGGAAAGGCGGAAUGCGCAGAGUGAGGGGGGUCCCUGGUGACCGUGACAUGGAAAGAAGAGUUCUGCCUUAGCCGUGCAAUGGAUUGAGCAAAUAAAAAGGCACGGAAAGAUCCCUGCUUUGAUGGCAGCCCCACCGUCACCACUGACCUUUGGAGCAGCUGAUUACAAAUCCAGAACGGGGACCUGGCUGUGAUAACGAUUUGUGGAGAUAAAGCCAAGAGGUAUUGCUGAAAUCGAGCUGUUCCUGCUGCCUGGGGGUGACAGCAGCAGCACCACCUCUCCUGCUGCACUGGAAAUCCCAGCUGUGGCCAGGGACAGGGCCAUGAGGAGCCAGGAUCCGGUCUGGGAGCACAUCCUGCCCCUGGAGCGCUCCCACCACGUCCCUGCCGUCCCUGGGAGUUCGGGGUUUGCUGGCUGUGACUCGAGGUGGCUCCAGCCUCCCCUGGCCCCACAGCCCCGCAGGGACGACCCCGGAGCUCUGGGGUCAGCCUUUAUCCCAAACCCGGCCUUCGCUCAGGGUCGGUUCCUUCUCCCCAGCUCUGUCUCAAAAGGUAAAAUAAAACCAUAAAUAUAAACGAGCACUGACAAAAGCUCUCGGAGGCCACUCCCCCCCCCAAAGGUUCCAUCCCGCGCUUCCCAAGGCGGGAGAUCGCCAUGAAUAUGGAUGCUCCCCCAAAUCCCUGUCUCACAGGGAAACCCCCUCCCUCCCCGCAGCCCGAGCCAGAUAAUUGAUCCAGUCCCUAGUGUUGACACACGAAAUGUUGUGUAACAACAGAGGGGAGAGAAUCUGUUUAUCUCGAACCACAUUUGGAGUGACAUAAGACUAUCACUUUUUUGGUUAAAUACCAGAAAGAAUAUCAAUUCUUUGGCUGAUAUCAAUCCCACCAGAUCCAUCCCGACUGACAACUUGUGUUUCCCUGGUUUGGGGAAGGAGGGGGGGUUGCUUCUCCACUCAAAAAUGAUGUUUCUUUCCAAGUUUUUGGGGGGGAGGAGGAACCAAACCCCCCCAGACAUGGUGUGGGCUUGUCUAGAAACUGGGAGUGCUGGGUUUGGGUAGGGGGGCUCCAGGGGUGGCUCCUGUGAGGAGAUCCUGGAGGCUGCGACCCCAUGGGAAGCCCCUGAAGGAGGUGUGACCCCAUGGGAAGCCCAUGCUGGAGCAGGGUCCUGGCAGGACUCGUGACCUCCUGGGGGCCCCAAACUGGAGCCAUUCCUGAAGAACUGCAGCCCAAGGGAAGGACUCAAACGGGAGAAGUUCCUGGAGGAUUUGUCUCCCGUGGGAGGGACCCCAGGAGCAGGGGCAGAGCGUGAGGAGUCCGACCUCUGCGGGGGAAGGGGCAGCAGAGGCGAUGUGUGCUGGGCCGACCACAGCCCCAUCCCCUGGGAGAAAAUGUGGAAGUGAAGCUGAGC
Long non-coding RNA from Corvus hawaiiensis (hawaiian crow), 1422 nucleotides. RefSeq lists it as uncharacterized. The transcript is spliced from 3 exons. The record is from RefSeq and is a predicted model, not a curated record. Lineage: Eukaryota; Metazoa; Chordata; Aves; Passeriformes; Corvidae.